This is a non-coding RNA of Gossypium hirsutum (cotton), 146 nucleotides long. The record is from Rfam. NCBI's taxonomy places the organism in Eukaryota, Viridiplantae, Streptophyta, Magnoliopsida, Malvales, Malvaceae.
UAUUAAAAAUUUCAUUCAUUUAUACUAUUAAAAACUGAUAUGAUUAAUAGAAAAAAUCAAACUAUCACAAUUAUUAUGCCACAUGUAUCUCGUACUGACAUAUAUGAAAAAGUUUUUAACAGUAGAAGUGGUUGAAAUUUGUAACA